This 496-nucleotide ribosomal RNA is filed under the name uncultured bacterium. RNAcentral's name for it is "partial 16S ribosomal RNA". It matches the Rfam family "Bacterial small subunit ribosomal RNA", at positions 29 to 507 of the family's 1533-position model. The record is from RNAcentral.
AUGAACGCUGGCGGCGUGCCUAAUACAUGCAAGUCGCGCGAACGGACGAGAAGCUUGCUUCUCUGAUGUUAGCGGCGGACGGGUGAGUAACACGUGGAUAACCUACCUAUAAGACUGGGAUAACUUCGGGAAACCGGAGCUAAUACCGGAUAAUAUUUUGAACCGCAUGGUUCAAAAGUGAAAGACGGUCUUGCUGUCACUUAUAGAUGGAUCCGCGCUGCAUUAGCUAGUUGGUAAGGUAACGGCUUACCAAGGCAACGAUGCAUAGCCGACCUGAGAGGGUGAUCGGCCACACUGGAACUGAGACACGGUCCAGACUCCUACGGGAGGCAGCAGUAGGGAAUCUUCCGCAAUGGGCGAAAGCCUGACGGAGCAACGCCGCGUGAGUGAUGAAGGUCUUCGGAUCGUAAAACUCUGUUAUUAGGGAAGAACAUAUGUGUAAGUAACUGUGCACAUCUUGAUGGUACCUAAUCAGAAAGCCACGGCUAACUACGUG